GUAGGGAAUCUUCGGCAAUGGACGAAAGUCUGACCGAGCAACGCCGCGUGAGUGAAGAAGGUUUUCGGAUCGUAAAACUCUGUUGUUAGAGAAGAAUGUUGAUUAGAGUGGAAAAUUAAUCAAGUGACGGUAUCUAACCAGAAAGGGACGGCUAACUACGUGCCAGCAGCCGCGGUAAUACGUAGGUCCCGAGCGUUGUCCGGAUUUAUUGGGCGUAAAGCGAGCGCAGGUGGUUUAAUAAGUCUGAUGUAAAAGGCAGUGGCUCAACCAUUGUGUGCAUUGGAAACUGGUAGACUUGAGUGCAGAAGAGGGGAGUGGAAUUCCAUGUGUAGCGGUGAAAUGCGUAGAUAUAUGGAGGAACACCGGUGGCGAAAGCGGCUCUCUGGACUGUCACUGACACUGAGGCUCGAAAGCGUGGGUAGCAAACAGGAUUAGAUACCCUGGUAGUCC
RNAcentral lists this ribosomal RNA (450 nucleotides) under uncultured bacterium. RNAcentral describes it as "partial 16S ribosomal RNA". It matches the Rfam family "Bacterial small subunit ribosomal RNA", at positions 354 to 796 of the family's 1533-position model. The record is from RNAcentral.